RNAcentral lists this ribosomal RNA (434 nucleotides) under uncultured bacterium. RNAcentral describes it as "partial 16S ribosomal RNA". It matches the Rfam family "Bacterial small subunit ribosomal RNA", at positions 29 to 507 of the family's 1533-position model. The record is from RNAcentral.
AGCGAACGCUGGCGGCAGGCCUAACACAUGCAAGUCGAACGAACCUUUCGGGGUUAGUGGCGGACGGGUGAGUAACACGUGGGAACGUGCCUUUAGGUUCGGAAUAACUCAGGGAAACUUGUGCUAAUACCGAAUGUGCCCUUCGGGGGAAAGAUUUAUCGCCUUUAGAGCGGCCCGCGUCUGAUUAGCUAGUUGGUUGAGGUAAUGGCUCACCAAGGCGACGAUCAGUAGCUGGUCUGAGAGGAUGAUCAGCCACAUUGGGACUGAGACACGGCCCAAACUCCUACGGGAGGCAGCAGUGGGGAAUCUAGCGCAAUGGGCGAAAGCCUGACGCAGCCAUGCCGCGUGAAUGAUGAAGGUCUUAGGAUUGUAAAAUUCUUUCACCGGGGACGAUAAUGACGGUACCCGGAGAAGAAGCCCCGGCUAACUUCGUG